RNAcentral lists this long non-coding RNA (444 nucleotides) under Helianthus annuus (common sunflower). Lineage: Eukaryota; Viridiplantae; Streptophyta; Magnoliopsida; Asterales; Asteraceae. The record is from RNAcentral.
AUGAAAUUUCCAUUGCAAUAUUUUUCUAAAUAACCACCGGUACCACUUGGCUGCUCGCGACUCCUGAUUCUGUCCAGGGUGGGGUCGGGGGUCGUGACAUUUGCCUUCAUACAAUGGUCAGGGUUCAGUCAAGUCAAUUGAUUCGUUCACGUUGAAACACUGCAAGAAUUUGGCAAAAUGUUGUUGAUGGAUCAUAUGGGGUCACAUGUUCUGGCCUCCAGAAUCCAGUUCCAUUCCAAUCAGUACCGGCUCAAUAACAACCUGAUGAGAUUGUUCAUAUCAAGAAAGAAUGGGAAAAACAAGAUCCUAAACAGGAAUCCAUGAAUGAUUCCAAAGAAGUCUUGAUGGAAUUAGAAAACCAACAAGAUUCCAGUCAAUUUUCCGCUGCAUAAAGACAAGAUUUAGAGAACUAGAUGACCAGGUUAUCAUCUAUGUUGAAUGAAG